This 252-nucleotide ribosomal RNA is filed under the name uncultured bacterium. RNAcentral describes it as "partial 16S ribosomal RNA". It matches the Rfam family "Bacterial small subunit ribosomal RNA", at positions 524 to 776 of the family's 1533-position model. The record is from RNAcentral.
UACGUAGGGGGCUAGCGUUGUCCGGAAUGACUGGGCGUAAAGGGUUCGCAGGCGGAUAAGCAAGUUAGAAGUGAAAUCCUAUAGCUCAACUAUAGUAAGCUUUUAAAACUGCUCAUCUUGAGGUAUGGAAGGGAAAGUGGAAUUCCUAGUGUAGCGGUGAAAUGCGCAGAUAUUAGGAGGAAUACCGGUGGCGAAGGCGACUUUCUGGCCAUAAACUGACGCUGAGGUGCGAAAGCGUGGGUAGCAAACAGG